RNAcentral lists this ribosomal RNA (484 nucleotides) under uncultured bacterium. Its description in RNAcentral is "partial 16S ribosomal RNA". It matches the Rfam family "Bacterial small subunit ribosomal RNA", at positions 36 to 507 of the family's 1533-position model. The record is from RNAcentral.
AUUUCCCUCUUUCCUCAUGCUUUACACAUGCAAGUCGAACGGCAGCGCGGGCUUCGGCCUGGCGGCGAGUGGCGAACGGGUGAGUAAUACAUCGGAACGUGCCCAGUAGUGGGGGAUAGCUCGGCGAAAGCCGGAUUAAUACCGCAUACGACCUGAGGGUGAAAGCGGGGGAUCUUCGGACCUCGCGCUAUUGGAGCGGCCGAUGGCAGAUUAGCUAGUUGGUGGGGUAAAGGCCUACCAAGGCGACGAUCUGUAGCUGGUCUGAGAGGACGACCAGCCACACUGGGACUGAGACACGGCCCAGACUCCUACGGGAGGCAGCAGUGGGGAAUUUUGGACAAAGGGCGAAAGCCUGAUCCAGCAAUGCCGCGUGUGUGAUGAAGGCCUUCGGGUUGUAAAGCACUUUUGGCGGGAACGAAAAGGACUGUGCCAAUACCACGGUUCGAUGACGGUACCCGCAGAAUAAGCACCGGCUAACUACGUG